UACCAUAAAAUACUCCGAGCCUGGCAGUCUAAGGCAAAGCUAUGAAUACCAGGCCGUUAGGGUUUAAUGGGAAACCGUUAAGCCUCCCCUGUGGAAAGGAGUACAGUUUGAACCUGG
This 117-nucleotide non-coding RNA is filed under the name Desulforamulus ferrireducens. RNAcentral describes it as "Desulfotomaculum ferrireducens MoCo sequence". It matches the Rfam family "Molybdenum/Tungsten riboswitch aptamer (Moco RNA motif)". Lineage: Bacteria; Bacillati; Bacillota; Clostridia; Eubacteriales; Peptococcaceae. The record is from Rfam by way of RNAcentral.